AUAUCAAUAAGCGGAGGAAAAGAAACCAACAGGGAUUCCCCUAGUAACGGCGAGUGAAGCGGGAAAAGCUCAAAUUUGAAAUCUCACUGGUUUCCAGUGCGAAUUGUAGUUUCAAGAAGCGUUUUCGGGGGCGACUCGGGUUGAAGUCUGUUGGAACGCAGUGCCAGAGAGGGUGAGAGCCCCGUUCGGCCUGAUGUUCGCUCCUGUAUGAUACGUUUUCAAAGAGUCGCAUAGUUUGGGAAUGCUGUGCAAAGUGGGUGGUAAAUAUCAUCUAAAGCUAAAUAUUGGCGAGAGACCGAUAGCGCACAAGUA
RNAcentral lists this ribosomal RNA (312 nucleotides) under uncultured Chytriomyces. RNAcentral describes it as "partial large subunit ribosomal RNA". It matches the Rfam family "Eukaryotic large subunit ribosomal RNA", at positions 40 to 350 of the family's 3401-position model. The record is from RNAcentral. Lineage: Eukaryota; Fungi; Chytridiomycota; Chytridiomycetes; Chytridiales; Chytriomycetaceae.